AUUGAACGCUGGCGGCAGGCCUAACACAUGCAAGUCGAGCGGAUGAAGGGAGCUUGCUCCUGGAUUCAGCGGCGGACGGGUGAGUAAUGCCUAGGAUUCUGCCUGGUAGUGGGGGAUAACGUCCGGAAACGGGCGCUAAUACCGCAUACGUCCUGAGGGAGAAAGUGGGGGAUCUUCGGACCUCACGCUAUCAGAUGAGCCUAGGUCGGAUUAGCUAGUUGGUGGGGUAAAGGCCUACCAAGGCGACGAUCCGUAACUGGUCUGAGAGGAUGAUCAGUCACACUGGAACUGAGACACGGUCCAGACUCCUACGGGAGGCAGCAGUGGGGAAUAUUGGACAAUGGGCGAAAGCCUGAUCCAGCCAUGCCGCGGGUGUGAAGAAGGUCUUCGGAUUGUAAAGCACUUUAAGUUGGGAGGAAGGGCAGUAAGUUAAUACCUUGCUGUUUUGACGUUACCAACAGAAUAAGCACCGGCUAACUUCGU
RNAcentral lists this ribosomal RNA (483 nucleotides) under uncultured bacterium. RNAcentral's name for it is "partial 16S ribosomal RNA". It matches the Rfam family "Bacterial small subunit ribosomal RNA", at positions 30 to 506 of the family's 1533-position model. The record is from RNAcentral.